Molecule: unclassified non-coding RNA, 433 nt
Filed under: soil metagenome
Description: partial contains 5.8S ribosomal RNA, internal transcribed spacer 2, and large subunit ribosomal RNA
Rfam family: 5.8S ribosomal RNA (bases 1-120)
Source: RNAcentral
GAUGAAGAACGUAGCGAAAUGCGAUACGUAAUGUGAAUUGCAGAAUUCAGUGAAUCAUCGAAUCUUUGAACGCAUAUUGCGCUCUCUGGUAUUCCGGAGAGCAUGCUUGUUUGAGUAUCAGUAAACACCUCAACUUCCAUAUCUUUUUUGAAAUGGGAGUUGGACUUGAGUGAUCCCAACGCUUUUCCUCACCGAAAAGUGGCGGGUUACUUGAAAUGCAGGUGCAGCUGGACUUUUCUCUGAGCUAUAAGCAUAUCUAUUUAGUCUGCCUAAAAAACAGAUUAUUACCUUUGCUGCAGCUAACAUAAAGGAGAUUAGUUCUUGUGCUGACUGAUGCAGGAUUCACAAAGACAGGCUUCGGCCGACUUUGUAAACUCGAUCUCAAAUCAAGUAAGACUACCCGCUGAUCUUAAGCAUAUCAAUAAGCGGAGGA